GGAGUCUAUCCUGGCCCGUGUUCACCUCGUUGUGAACCGAUGGCUACUGGAUGGCUUCUAACCUUUCUGGGGAUCCAGUCUGCACUUUAUUGUGUGGGCUGGGGUAACCAGGACUUUUACCUUGAAAAAAUUAGAGUGUUCAAAGCAGGCAUUUCGCUUGAAUACAUUAGCAUGGAAUAAUAGAAUAGGACCUGGGUUCUAUUUUGUUGGUUUCUAGGACCAAGGUA
This 227-nucleotide ribosomal RNA is filed under the name uncultured fungus. Its description in RNAcentral is "partial small subunit ribosomal RNA". The stretch from base 86 to 227 matches the Rfam family "Eukaryotic small subunit ribosomal RNA", at positions 721 to 864 of the family's 1831-position model. Lineage: Eukaryota; Fungi. The record is from RNAcentral.